Molecule: ribosomal RNA, 116 nt
Filed under: Escherichia coli
Lineage: Bacteria; Pseudomonadati; Pseudomonadota; Gammaproteobacteria; Enterobacterales; Enterobacteriaceae
Also listed under: 2 other names
Source: RNAcentral
CCUGGCGGCCGUAGCGCGGUGGUCCCACCUGACCCCAUGCCGAACUCAGAAGUGAAACGCCGUAGCGCCGAUGGUAGUGUGGGGUCUCCCCAUGCGAGAGUAGGGAACGGCCAGGC